AAAUCGGCCCUUUUUAGGGCCACAUAAAAAUGACCUUCAUCUGAAUU
Molecule: non-coding RNA, 47 nt
Organism: Oikopleura dioica
Lineage: Eukaryota; Metazoa; Chordata; Appendicularia; Copelata; Oikopleuridae
Source: Rfam